CCUACGGGGGGCAGCAGUGGGGAAUAUUGGACAAUGGGGGCAACCCUGAUCCAGCCAUGCCGCGUGUGUGAAGAAGGCCCUCGGGUUGUAAAGCACUUUCAGUGAGGAAGAACGCCUGGUGGUUAAUACCCAUCAGGAAAGACAUCACUCACAGAAGAAGCACCGGCUAACUCCGUGCCAGCAGCCGCGGUAAUACGGAGGGUGCGAGCGUUAAUCGGAAUUACUGGGCGUAAAGCGCGCGUAGGUGGCUUGAUAAGCCGGUUGUGAAAGCCCCGGGCUCAACCUGGGAACGGCAUCCGGAACUGUCAAGCUAGAGUGCAGGAGAGGAAGGUAGAAUUCCCGGUGUAGCGGUGAAAUGCGUAGAGAUCGGGAGGAAUACCAGUGGCGAAGGCGGCCUUCUGGACUGACACUGACACUGAGGUGCGAAAGCGUGGGUAGCAAACGGGAUUAGAUACCCGGGUAGUC
Molecule: ribosomal RNA, 465 nt
Filed under: Vreelandella stevensii
Lineage: Bacteria; Pseudomonadati; Pseudomonadota; Gammaproteobacteria; Oceanospirillales; Halomonadaceae
Description: partial 16S ribosomal RNA
Rfam family: Bacterial small subunit ribosomal RNA
Source: RNAcentral